Molecule: long non-coding RNA, 332 nt
Filed under: Homo sapiens (human)
Lineage: Eukaryota; Metazoa; Chordata; Mammalia; Primates; Hominidae
Description: HSALNT0252883
Source: RNAcentral
AAGCUCUCUUGCCUGCCGCCAUGUAAGAUGUGACUUUGCUCCUCGUUCACCUUCCACCGUGACUGUGAGGCCUCCCCAGCCAUAUGGAACUGUUCCCAUCCAAUCACAUGGCACCAGCCCACAUUGAGAGAAGUUCUUCUCCACUCAGACUACUAGCUUCCCCACUGAGAUCACCUCCAGAAAUAUCUUCACAGACACGCCCAGGGCAGUUUAAUCAUUCUAAUCAAAUGCCAAACCAACAAAGUUUCCCUUUCAGCAAAUGAUGAACAGGCUCACUCCCUGCUGAAACAUUUAGAAUAACUAUUGCAAUAAUUGAGAAUAAAUGAUAUUUU